This 440-nucleotide ribosomal RNA is filed under the name uncultured bacterium. RNAcentral's name for it is "partial 16S ribosomal RNA". It matches the Rfam family "Bacterial small subunit ribosomal RNA", at positions 338 to 795 of the family's 1533-position model. The record is from RNAcentral.
CCUACGUGUGGCAGCAGUAGGGAAUAUUGCUCAAUGGGGGAAACCCUGAAGCAGCAACGCCGCGGGGAGGAUGAAGGUUUUCGGAUUGUAAACUCCUUUUGUUAGAGGAGAUAAUGACGGUAUCUAACGAAUAAGCACAAGAUAACUCCGUGCCAGCAGCCGCGGUAAUACGGAGGGUGCAAGCGUUACUCGGAAUCACUGGGCGUAAAGAGCGAGUAGGCGGGAUAGUAAGUCAGAUGUGAAAUCCUAUGGCUUAACCAUAGAACUGCAUUUGAAACUGUUAGUCUAGAGUAUGGGAGAGGGAAGUGGAAUUCUUGGUGUAGGAGUAAAAUGCGUAGAUAUCGAGAGGAACACUCGUGGCGAAGGCGGGCUGCUGGAACAUAACUGACGCUGAUGCACGAAGGCGAGGGGAGCGAAAGGGAUUAGAUACCCGAGUAGUC